Molecule: long non-coding RNA, 295 nt
Organism: Parus major (Great Tit)
Lineage: Eukaryota; Metazoa; Chordata; Aves; Passeriformes; Paridae
Exons: 3
Source: RefSeq, a predicted model, not a curated record
CUUCUACUCUACUCUGGUGAGACCCCACCUGGAGUACUGCAUCCAGCUCUGGAACUCCCAGCAUGAGAAGGAUGUGGAUCUGUUGGAGUGGGUCCAGAAGAGGGCCAUAAAAAUGUGAAAACUUUGGAAGGAAAAAUGGAUUUAGUAUCAUUUCAUAUGGAAGCAAUGAUCUUCAACUUCUGUGAUGCAUUUUCAGCUCUAUGGGAUCACUUUUCUGAGAGGUGCCUUUUGCUUUCCCAUGUCAAAUUUUUAUGAAGUAUGUUUGAUGAAAUCAGUGACAUUGGUUAUAUUCAAG